RNAcentral lists this ribosomal RNA (253 nucleotides) under uncultured bacterium. RNAcentral's name for it is "partial 16S ribosomal RNA". It matches the Rfam family "Bacterial small subunit ribosomal RNA", at positions 524 to 776 of the family's 1533-position model. The record is from RNAcentral.
UACGUAGGGACCAAGCGUUGUCCGGAAUCAUUGGGCGUAAAGAGCGUGUAGGCGGCUUGUUAAGUCUUGCGUGAAAUCUCGGGGCUCAACCCCGAGCGGUCGUGAGAAACUGGCAGGCUAGAGUGCGGGAGAGGAGAGUGGAAUUCCUGGUGUAGCGGUGAAAUGCGCAGAUACCAGGAAGAACACCCGUGGCGAAGGCGGCUAUCUGGACGGUUUCUGACGCUAAGACGCGAAAGCGUGGGGAGCAAACAGG